RNAcentral lists this ribosomal RNA (446 nucleotides) under uncultured bacterium. RNAcentral describes it as "bacterial SSU rRNA". It matches the Rfam family "Bacterial small subunit ribosomal RNA", at positions 330 to 793 of the family's 1533-position model. The record is from RNAcentral.
GCCAGACUCCUACGGGAGGCAGCAGUGGGGAAUAUUGCACAAUGGGGGAAACCCUGAUGCAGCGACGCCGCGUGAGUGAAGAAGUAUUUCGGUAUGUAAAGCUCUAUCAGCAGGGAAGAAAAUGACGGUACCUGAUUAAGAAGCCCCGGCUAACUACGUGCCAGCAGCCGCGGUAAUACGUAGGGGGCAAGCGUUAUCCGGAUUUACUGGGUGUAAAGGGAGCGUAGACGGUGAUGCAAGUCAGAAGUGAAAGCCCGGGGCUCAACUCCGGGACUGCUUUUGAAACUGUGUGACUGGAGUGCAGGAGAGGUAAGCGGAAUUCCUGGUGUAGCGGUGAAAUGCGUAGAUAUCAGGAGGAACACCAGUGGCGAAGGCGGCUUACUGGACUGUAACUGACGUUGAGGCUCGAAAGCGUGGGGAGCAAACAGGAUUAGAUACCCGGGUAU